GAUGAAGAACGUAGCGAAAUGCGAUAAGUAAUGUGAAUUGCAGAAUUCCGUGAAUCAUCGAAUCUUUGAACGCACAUUGCGCCCCUUGGUAUUCCGAGGGGCAUGCCUGUUCGAGCGUCAUAUUAACCACUCCCGCUUGCGGGGUCUUGGGCUUCGCCUCCGGGCGGGCCUUAAAAUCAGUGGCGGUGCCGUCGGGCUCUACGCGUAGUAAAUUUUCUCGCGAUAGGGUCCCGGUGGAUGCUUGCCAACAACCCCCAACUUCUUAAGGUUGACCUCGGAUCAGGUAGGGAUACCCGCUGAACUUAAGCAUAUCAAUAAGCGGAGGA
Molecule: unclassified non-coding RNA, 326 nt
Filed under: soil metagenome
Description: partial contains 5.8S ribosomal RNA, internal transcribed spacer 2, and large subunit ribosomal RNA
Rfam family: 5.8S ribosomal RNA (bases 1-120)
Source: RNAcentral